UACGUAGGGUGCGAGCGUUGUCCGGAAUUACUGGGCGUAAAGAGCUCGUAGGCGGUCUGCCGCGUCCGUUGUGAAAACUCGAGGCUCAACCUCGGGCUUGCAGUGGAUACGGGCAGACUAGAGUGCGGUAGGGGAGACUGGAAUUCCUGGUGUAGCGGUGGAAUGCGCAGAUAUCAGGAGGAACACCGAUGGCGAAGGCAGGUCUCUGGGCCGCAACUGACGCUGAGGAGCGAAAGCAUGGGGAGCGAACAGG
This 253-nucleotide ribosomal RNA is filed under the name uncultured bacterium. Its description in RNAcentral is "partial 16S ribosomal RNA". It matches the Rfam family "Bacterial small subunit ribosomal RNA", at positions 524 to 776 of the family's 1533-position model. The record is from RNAcentral.